This 1540-nucleotide long non-coding RNA is filed under the name Homo sapiens (human). Its description in RNAcentral is "non-protein coding lnc-RC3H1-1:5". Lineage: Eukaryota; Metazoa; Chordata; Mammalia; Primates; Hominidae. The record is from RNAcentral.
UCACCUCUUCACGUCUCCGCGGGCGCUGCCGAGACAACAACUCCUUCAGGCGCCCGCGUUCCACCCUCCACCUCGCGCUCUGAAGCCGGGCCGGUCCCGUUCGCUCCGCCACCGCUGGAGCCCGAGGAGGGCGGAGGGAACUGAGAGGGGAGGGGAGAAGGGCCGCCUGGCAGGAAGAGGCGAGGGAGGGGGCGGGCCGAGAAGGAGGGGAGGAGGCGGUGGCGGCGGGUCGGAAGCGCGCUCGUCCAGGCCCCUCUGCGCGGCGUGCGCGCUCCUGAUGUCGGAGGCGCCCACUCUGCCGGGCGGCGGCGGCGCACACGCGCGUGCACGUCGCUGCGUGGCCGCGGUUGCGCCGGGAGCGGAGGAGUGAGGUCCUGACAGAACCAGAGCUGUUAGAGCAGGGACGCGCGAAAGGCGGGAGUACGGGCGGCGCUGGAGAACCUCCGCGGCGGAGGGGCCUGGGGGUGGGACCGCGCCCGCGAGCCCGCCCUGACCGGGGUGUCUGUGUGCUUGUGAAGCGCUCCCUUGUUAGUUCCUUCUGUGAGACUCGGGGGAGACUGAAGAGGGAAAUCACCUGCGGGGAAUGAACAGGAAAGCAAUAAGAAGAUUUGGAAAAGAGGCACUGGCUACUGGAGGAAGGGAGAAAUCACCGAGAGAGCGAAAGAUGUAACAGAUGCAGUGACUCAUGCCUAUAAUCCCAGUACUUUGGAAGGUCAAGGCACAAGGAUCCAUUGAGGCCAGGAGUCCAAGACCAGCCUGCACAAUGUAGCAAGACUCCUUCUCUACAAAAAAAUAAAUAAAAAUUAGCCAGGCAUGGUGGUGCACUCCUGUAGUCCCAGCUACUCAAGAGGCUGAUGUAGAGAAUCGCAUUAUCCCAGAGGUCAAGGCUGCAGUGAGCCGUGAUCAUGCCUCUGCACUCCAGCCUGGACGAUAGAGCAAGACUUUAUCUCAAAAAACAAAAAUUUAAAAAGAUAUCAGGUAGCUCAUAGAAUUGUUGAGAGGGCUGUAAAACCAGGCUUGAACUUAAACAGCAACGAUAAACCACCCACAGAACGGACAUGAUGAAGAAGUUGGCAAAUGUUACCAACUGUCCUGGUUUUUUUGGUGACUGUAGUUUCCAAGGAUUCAGAUCCUUCCAUGCCAAAAUCUGAAAAAUGCUGGGCAAAGUAUGACUGACAAUGUGGUAAUCUUACAGCUAGCACUAGAGACAUCAAGCACUAGACAACACAAUUUGCCCUUUGGCCACUUAUACAAUGGGAACUCACGCUUGCAGUAACCUCUAUUGCCACUAGGAGAGAGAAACACAGAAGGAGGAAGGGAGAAGGGAGAGAGAGGAAAAAAACUGUUGCUUGUCUCCUUAGCUGUGAGUCAAAGGUCUAACACAGAUGUCUGGCUGAAAAGCCUAGGUCACAUGCCUGCACCCCAGAGAAAGUAUGUGACAUCUUCUGCUUCCAUUAUGGGAAACAGCCUUUGCUUGUCACGAAGAUUUACAUGGUGAGACAUAUCCUAAAUAUAGGGAAGCUGUUGAAGUGGCCCAAAU